RNAcentral lists this ribosomal RNA (1239 nucleotides) under Triticum aestivum (bread wheat). Its description in RNAcentral is "partial small subunit ribosomal RNA". Lineage: Eukaryota; Viridiplantae; Streptophyta; Magnoliopsida; Poales; Poaceae. The record is from RNAcentral.
AUGGCGUCGUUGUGUGACAUGUUUUUGAGCCAGGAGCUGGCGGCGGCCGCGGCCAUGUCGGCGGACGCGUACGGGAGGUUCGAAAGGUACAGUAUGAGCUCUGCCCAUGGUUUUCCCCAGUACCAGCAAGCUGGUAACGCUCCGACCGGAUUCCCCGACACGGGAUUUCUCGUUUCCGGCUUCGGCAAGCCUCCCACCAUCUUCAUCAUGCCGGCGGGGACCCACGCGGCCGCUGGUUAUGGCGCUGAGGCCGUCCCGGUGGAGAUCCCCGUGGUCCGGCGACAGACACCUGCCUCCAGGAACGCCAGGGCGACGCCGUUCAGAGGACCGUGGACGGAGGAAGAGGACGAACUUCUCAGGAGAUUGGUAGAUGAGCAUGGAGAGCACAAGUGGGCGACCAUUUCAAAGCACCUCCCGGGACGGAUCGGCAAGCAGUGCCGUGAGCGAUGGACAAAUCACGUGCGCCCCGGCAUCAAGAAGGACCACAUCUGGACUGAGGCGGACGACAUACUGCUGAUCGACGCGCACAAGAUCCACGGAAACCGUUGGUCGACGAUCGCGAGGUGCCUCCCCGGCCGGUCGGAGAACGCCAUCAAGAACCACUGGAACGCGACAAAGCGGAGCCUCAAGUCGAAGCGCCGGCUAAAGAAGAAGACAAGCCAACAAGCCGCCCCGGGGCAGUUCACCCUCCUCGAGGAGUACAUCCGCGACAAAACGAUGGCUGACGAGAACGUGGCGCCACCGUCUCCGUCGUCCGGCCUCGGGUAUGACGGCCAGGUUUUUCCAAAUGCCGCUGCAAUGCUGGCCGUCUCCACCCCACCGGGGAUGGGUCAGUACCUCCACCCAGCCGACGCGGCCGGGUCAUCGUCCCAAGCAGGGAUGAUGAACCUGAGAGCGCCCUUGCCGGACCUCAACGCCGCCUACAGCGGCGAGAUGCUGGAGCGAUACUACUACCCGGCCUCCUUCCCGACCUACAGCAACAACAACCUGCUGCACCAUGGACCAGAGCCUGCAUUUCCUCAGAUGUUUAGUGCCCAGGCACGCAUGCUUGCUGCAUGCACGAACCUGAAAUUGUUCCCGCUCCCUCAGUACCUCGGUGGCGGCUACUACGGCGGCGAGACGGGCAGCAGUAGCGCCGGUGGCAGCAGUGAUCAGGACGAAGACGUGGUCCAGAUGGCCUCGAGGGAGUUCCAGACGUCCGAUGACGAGACCACACUGGACCUCACUGGUUUCAACUGA